RNAcentral lists this ribosomal RNA (301 nucleotides) under uncultured bacterium. RNAcentral's name for it is "partial 16S ribosomal RNA". It matches the Rfam family "Bacterial small subunit ribosomal RNA", at positions 509 to 807 of the family's 1533-position model. The record is from RNAcentral.
CAGCCGCCACGGUAAUACAGAGGAUGCAAGCGUUAUCCGGAAUGAUUGGGCGUAAAGCGUCUGUAGGUGGCUUUUCAAGUCCGCCGUCAAAUCCCAGAGCUCAACCCUGGACAGGCGGUGGAAACUACCAAGCUGGAGUACGGUAGGGGCAGAGGGAAUUUCCAGUGGAGCGGUGAAAUGCGUUGAGAUCGAAAAGAACACCAACAGCGAAAGCACUCUGCUGGGACGACACUGACACUAAGAGACGAAAGCUAGGGGAGCAAAUGGGAUUAGAUACCCGCGUAGUCCCUGUCUCUUAUAC